Molecule: ribosomal RNA, 372 nt
Filed under: uncultured organism
Description: bacterial SSU rRNA
Rfam family: Bacterial small subunit ribosomal RNA
Source: RNAcentral
CGUAGGGGGCAAGCGUUGUCCGGAUUUAUUGGGCGUAAAGCGCUCGCAGGUGGUGCGUCACGUCGUGCGUGAAAGACCCCGGCUCAACUGGGGAGGGUCGUGCGAUACGGGCGGACUGGAGGCCAGUAGGGGGAUGCGGAAUUCCGGGUGUAGUGGUGGAAUGCGUAGAGAUCCGGAGGAACACCAGCGGCGAAGGCGGCAUCCUGGACUGGUCCUGACACUCAGGAGCGAAAGCGUGGGGAGCGAUCCGGAUUAGAUACCCGGGUAGUCCACGCUGUAAACGAUGAGCACUAGGUGUCGGGGGUAUCGACCCCCUCGGUGCCGCAGCUAACGCGAUAAGUGCUCCGCCUGGGGACUACGGCCGCAAGGCUA